AAGUCGUAACAAGGUCUCCGUAGGUGAACCUGCGGAGGGAUCAUUAACACGUGUAAAAACGUAUUACUAUACCUAACUAACCAAUACCGUGAACUAUGUUUUUAUUAUUAACAUUUUUUAUCUUUUUACUUGUUACUAUUUAACGAUAGUAAUGAGUGAAUUCUUAACCUUUUCCAAUUUCUUCUUUUUUUUUGUUAUUGUAUUGUAUAGUGUUCAUGGUAUUUUACUAUGAUACUGUAUGAUCAUACAUAUAAUGUAAAAAAAUCAAAAGCACAACUCUUAGCAACGGAUAUCUUGGUUCUC
This 303-nucleotide unclassified non-coding RNA is filed under the name fungal sp. RNAcentral describes it as "partial internal transcribed spacer region". The stretch from base 1 to 46 matches the Rfam family "Eukaryotic small subunit ribosomal RNA", at positions 1786 to 1831 of the family's 1831-position model. The record is from RNAcentral. Lineage: Eukaryota; Fungi.